This 400-nucleotide ribosomal RNA is filed under the name uncultured bacterium. RNAcentral describes it as "bacterial SSU rRNA". It matches the Rfam family "Bacterial small subunit ribosomal RNA", at positions 355 to 746 of the family's 1533-position model. The record is from RNAcentral.
UGGGGAAUUUUGCGCAAUGGGGGAAACCCUGACGCAGCGACACCGCGUGAAGGAUUGAAGGUCUUAGGAUUGUAAACUUCUGUUAAGUGGGAAGAAAGAGCACUAUUUAAAAGAUGGUGAAGAUGACGGUACCACUAGAGAAAGCACCGGCUAACUUCGUGCCAGCAGCCGCGGUAAUACGAAGGGUGCAAGCGUUAUUCGGAGUUAUUGGGCGUAAAGAGCGCGUAGGCGGCUCGUUAAGUCAACUGUUAAAUCUCCCGGCCCAACCGGGAACAAGCAGUCGAAACUGGCAGGCUAGAGUGUAAGAGAGAGAAGUAGAAUUCUCGGAGUAGCGGUAAAAUGCGUAGAUCUCGAGAGGAAUACCGGUUGCGAAGGCGGCUUCUUGGCUUACAACUGACGC